GAUGAACGCUGGCGGCGUGCCUAAUACAUGCAAGUCGAGCGAACAGACGAGGAGCUUGCUCCUCUGACGUUAGCGGCGGACGGGUGAGUAACACGUGGAUAACCUACCUAUAAGACUGGGAUAACUUCGGGAAACCGGAGCUAAUACCGGAUAAUAUAUUGAACCGCAUGGUUCAAUAAUGAAAGACGGUUUUGCUGUCACUUAUAGAUUGAUCCGAGCCGCAUUAGCUAGUUGGUAAGGUAACGGCUUACCAAGGCAACGAUGCGUAGCCGACCUGAGAGGGUGAUCGGCCACACUGGAACUGAGACACGGUACAGACUCAUACGGGAGGCAGCAGUAGGGAAUCUUCCGCAAUGGGCGAAAGCCUGACGGAGAAACGCCGCGUGAGUGAUGAAGGUCUUCGGAUCGUAAGACUAUGUUAUUAGGGAAGAACAAAUGUGUAAGUAACUAUGCACGUCUUGACGGUACCUAAUCAGAAAGCCACGGCUAACUACGUG
Molecule: ribosomal RNA, 497 nt
Filed under: uncultured bacterium
Lineage: Bacteria
Description: partial 16S ribosomal RNA
Rfam family: Bacterial small subunit ribosomal RNA
Source: RNAcentral